CCCGAUGAACCUGAAUAUCCAUUAUGGAAAAUUCAUCAUUAAUAUUACUAUAUUUAAAAAUAUAAUAAAAAUAGUGUGCAAUUUUUCCAUAUAAGGACAUUGUAAUCUGUUAAUGUAUUAAAUAUUUAUCAAAAAAUCUAAAACAUAAGUUUGUACAAAUUAGUUAUUUUCGAAUUUCUAACAUAGCACAAUAGUAUUAGAUUUGAUAAAUCAUUGACAGAUUGUAUUAUAUAUAAUGCUUAAAUUCAAUAUGAAUUUUAUAAUAAUAAUAAAAAUUAAUUUUUAUUUAUAAUUAUAUGCGUUUAUAUGAUUAACAAUGCGAUAGAUUCAGGAUACCUUCGGGACCCGUCUUGAAACACGGACCAAGGAGUCUAACAUAUGUGCAAGUCAUUGGGUAUUUUUAAUAAAACCCAAUGGCAUAAUUAACUUAACUGUUUUUUAAUGGGAUUAGUUUGCAUUUUAUUAUGAAAUAUAAAUUCAAUCCCGGGGCGUUCUAUAUAGUUAUGCAUAAUGAUAUUUAUAUUAUUUAUGCCUCUAACUAGAGCGUACCUUGAGCAUAUAUGCUGUGACCC
Molecule: ribosomal RNA, 572 nt
Rfam family: Eukaryotic large subunit ribosomal RNA (bases 362-572)